GUCACUAGGGCUUGUUUGGGCUGCUCAGUGCUGAACGCUGGGGUGACAGGUUCUCCUGCCAUGGUGAAUCCUGGCAAGAUUUGCCUGGCUCUCUGACAUUCUGUAGCCCCAACAUAUGUGGGAGGAUGCCUGAAAGAAGUUUCAUCCUCAGGUGGUCUCUCCUCUCAACCUACACACCUUGGAGAGCCUUCCCCAGGGUAUGAUGGUGGCGAGUCUGGGACACAUUCAUCAGAAGGUCCUGCUCUCAGCAGAAAUUUGGAGCCUCCUGAGUGACCAGCAUUAAUGCCCCACUUCCCUUCUUGCACAACUCCCAGCUUCUCUACUGCCCAGUGAUGGAAUUAUUGAUUGGUGUUCAUACGCUAAAUACCCGGAAGGUCCUUUAAUAUCAUCACAGAAAUGUCAGGAGAAGUGGAGGACCACUGGCAGAAGAACCUGCCUCCCUGCUCCUUCAAAGGCCACAGACCCAUGAGAACCAUUCACUGUAGCCUGAGCCACAUGCCUGGAGGCCACAGCAGUGCACAGGAAAGCGGGGGGAAGUGGAAACGUGCGAGCAGACGGCUCAAAGCAACGGGCUCACCACCGGAAAAAAAAAAUAAAAAUAAACACGCUCAGAAAUAGUGUAA
Long non-coding RNA from Cervus elaphus (red deer), 623 nucleotides. RefSeq lists it as uncharacterized. Lineage: Eukaryota; Metazoa; Chordata; Mammalia; Artiodactyla; Cervidae. The record is from RefSeq and is a predicted model, not a curated record. The transcript has 4 exons.